Chaetomium strumarium is the source of this 92-nucleotide non-coding RNA. The record is from the annotation of a RefSeq genome assembly. NCBI's taxonomy places the organism in Eukaryota, Fungi, Ascomycota, Sordariomycetes, Sordariales, Chaetomiaceae.
GGCGCUAUAGCGCAAUGGUAGCGCGUGGUCCUCCUAAGUUAUCAUAUGAGAAAAUUAGACCAAGGUUGUGGGUUCGAGUCCCAUUAGCGUCG